UUCUAUUAAAAAUAAUUAAUAGUAAGAUCUGCUCAAUGAUAAUUAAAUAGCCGCAAUUCGUGCUAAGGUAGCAUAAUCAUUUGUCUUCUAAUUAAAGACUAGAACAAAAGAUUUAACAUUCCAAUUAAUUUCCUUAAUUUAACCUAACAAAUUUAACAUUAAUGUAAAAAGACAUUAAUUUAUAAGAAAGACGACAAGACCCUAUUGAACUUAACUCAAGUUAAACUGGGGCAGUUAAUAAAUUAUUAUUUUUAUAAAAUUAUACAAACAAUAAGCUAUUAUAAAUAAUAAAUCAGUUACCAUAGGGAUAACAGCGUAAUAAUUAUUUAAAGCUCUCAUUUAAAUAAAAGAUUGCAACCUCGAUGUUGAAUUUAUAACCUAUUCAUAAGCAAAUUUCUAAAAAGGAAGUCUGUUCGACUUUUAAAAAAUAACA
RNAcentral lists this ribosomal RNA (433 nucleotides) under Hasarius adansoni. RNAcentral describes it as "partial 16S ribosomal RNA". Lineage: Eukaryota; Metazoa; Arthropoda; Arachnida; Araneae; Salticidae. The record is from RNAcentral.